This is a small nucleolar RNA of Leersia perrieri, 144 nucleotides long. It matches the Rfam family "Small nucleolar RNA snoR136". Lineage: Eukaryota; Viridiplantae; Streptophyta; Magnoliopsida; Poales; Poaceae. The record is from Rfam.
AUUGUUAUCGCUUCUCUAGGUUCAUGCUUAAGAGCUGGUUGUGGUUCUUGAGCUCUGGAAAGUGAAGCAAAAUGCUUAGUGGUUCCUCUCGCUAUCCGGGGCAGAAUUCUCUUUGAUGCCACUGGACGUCGAGGAAGUAUAUUU